Long non-coding RNA from Leopardus geoffroyi (Geoffroy's cat), 1771 nucleotides. RefSeq lists it as uncharacterized. The record is from RefSeq and is a predicted model, not a curated record. The transcript is spliced from 3 exons. NCBI's taxonomy places the organism in Eukaryota, Metazoa, Chordata, Mammalia, Carnivora, Felidae.
AGGAAGAGCUCUCUUUUGGCAAGGAGUUUAGGGAUUGAAAGCAUUGAAGCUUAUUAAUAAGAUGAACAGCAACAGUACUUUAUUACCAGCUCCUGAGCAUCCGCUGAAUGUGAUGUUAUAAGCAUUGUUAUAAGCAUCGAGAAAAUGCUUAUAAGGGAGCCCAGUCGCUCCCUUCCAAAACCUUGUAGACCAGUGGGGAAGCUGAGCAAUGUCACGGCACACGGUGCAUGAUAACAUGUCCCCAGCAAUUUAACAUCAGUCACCUCAUUUGACCCUCCCAGGAUCUGCACAAAGUAGGCAAGACAUGCGUUGUUAAUCCCCACUUAGUAGGCAACAAAACACAACAAAAAAACAAGGUAGAAGAAGCAGCCCAGAGAGAUGGAGUGGAUUGGCUAAAUUCGUACGUGAGGCAGAGUCAGAGUUGAGCAGGCCUUCUAAAUGCUCAUUUCCAGUCCUCGGGCCUGAACCACUCUGGGAUGGCUCUGGCUUGGCCUGUGAUCAGAACACCAGCUCUGGCCCUCUCAGAAUUCAUGACAUUUCCACUGCCCACAAUUAUUCUGUUCAAAAAUGUUGGAGACUUCUCAGACCCAGCCCAGGGUGGCAUAUGAGACAUGCUAUCCUAGUGUUACUUGGCUGAUUAUAAUAAGGAUGAUAACAACAGAUAUAUAAUAUCCUUCCUUUGUAGCACAAUUUUUAGUUCAAACAGUGCUCUCCUAUGUGCCGACACUAGUGAAUGAGUGUGUGUGUGUGUGUGUGUGUGUGUGUGUUUUACUGUUAAAAGUAGAUGUUAUUAUCCCAUGUCACAGGGGAUGAAAAUGAGGUUCUGAGAAGUUUACUUUCUCAAAGUCACAAGUGAAGUAAAGCACAGAGGCCAGGCUCAAGGUAGCUGUCUAGAAGUCCAAGCCUUGGGCUCUUCUUACUGACAUGCAGUCAUCUGACUCAUCACAGAGGAGGAUAACCGUGGCCAAGAGAUGUUGACGGUUUGCCUAAGAUUGCAGAACCUGCUAAAAGCAGAAGCAUUUUCAAGCACAGAAACACCCGGGGAAAUGUUCAUUCUUCCUUCAACAACUCUGAAAUCUCCUAAAACAUGCAGCCCACCAGGAGUGGCAAUGCAAAAAAGGCACAGGAAGAAAAUAAACCAAGAAGGAAAAGAUAACACACACAUCUCAUGUGGGCCUUCAAGAAGGAUGGGAGAAGCAGGGCAGGGAGAGGGAGAAGCACCCACCAGCCUCAGUUCUUCCUUUGCUCAUCCCCCCCUCCUUCUUUUCCCUUCCCUCCCCCGUUUCCUGCAUGCAGCAGCAAAUGUAUGAAUGCUUGGAUGGCUUGGCAAAACACUCUCCAAGAUUUAUUUCUGUUGGACAAUCUUGCAUUCUUUUUUCUUCCCCCUGCUGACAACUCUGUCAACAGCAGGCUCCUCUGUGAGGCUGUGAGUUUGGAAAUCAGGCACUUGAUACAGACAUUGUUGCAAUGAUACAAACCAGACUAAGAAAGUGGACUCCUGAGAUCAGGGAGACCUGCAGACCUACUUGGUUCAUUACCUGGGAGUCACCGGGACCUCAGGGCUUGGCGAAGAGACCAUCUGGGGAGGGGGAGGGGGCAGCGGUCCUGGGCAUGUGGUCAGUUCAAGGCAAGGAGAUGGUUCCAGUAGUUCAAAAGCUAGAUCUGUUUGUACGAGCUCCAACAAUAGCUUUGAAUUGCUUUGAAACUCGAGUGUUGAUAAGCCACUAGGUAGCGGGGUACUGGGUAAUAAAUGUGAAAAAUGUUUUGUCGA